RNAcentral lists this unclassified non-coding RNA (346 nucleotides) under soil metagenome. RNAcentral's name for it is "partial contains 5.8S ribosomal RNA, internal transcribed spacer 2, and large subunit ribosomal RNA". The stretch from base 1 to 120 matches the Rfam family "5.8S ribosomal RNA", at positions 35 to 154 of the family's 154-position model. The record is from RNAcentral.
GAUGAAGAACGCAGCGAAAUGCGAUAAGUAAUGUGAAUUGCAGAAUUCAGUGAAUCAUCGAAUCUUUGAACGCACAUUGCGCCCCCUGGUAUUCCGGGGGGCAUGCCUGUCCGAGCGUCAUUGCUGCCCUCAAGCACGGCUUGUGUGUUGGGCCCCGUCCUCCGAUUCCGGGGGACGGGCCCGAAAGGCAGCGGCGGCACCGCGUCCGGUCCUCGAGCGUAUGGGGCUUUGUCACCCGCUCUGUAGGCCCGGCCGGCGCUUGCCGAUCAACCCAAAUUUUUAUCCAGGUUGACCUCGGAUCAGGUAGGGAUACCCGCUGAACUUAAGCAUAUCAAUAAGCGGAGGA